This 274-nucleotide ribosomal RNA is filed under the name uncultured bacterium. Its description in RNAcentral is "partial 16S ribosomal RNA". It matches the Rfam family "Bacterial small subunit ribosomal RNA", at positions 523 to 796 of the family's 1533-position model. The record is from RNAcentral.
AUACAGAGGGUGCAAGCGUUAUUCGGAAUUACUGGGCGUAAAGCGCGCGUAGGCGGAUGAUUAAGUCAGUUGUGAAAGCCCUGGGCUCAACCUAGGAACUGCAUCUGAUACUGGUCAUCUAGAGUUUAAGAGAGGGAAGUGGAAUUCCAGGUGUAGCAGUGAAAUGCGUAGAUAUCCGGAGGAACAUCAGUGGCGAAGGCGACUUCCUGGCUUAGAACUGACGCUGAGGUGCGAAAGCGUGGGUAGCGAACGGGAUUAGAAACCCCAGUAGUCC